GACGAACGCUGGCGGCGCGCCUAACACAUGCAAGUCGAACGAGCGAGAGAGAGCUUGCUUUCUCAAGCGAGUGGCGAACGGGUGAGUAACGCGUGAGGAACCUGCCUCAAAGAGGGGGACAACAGUUGGAAACGACUGCUAAUACCGCAUAAGCCCACAGCUCGGCAUCGAGCAGAGGGAAAAGGAGUGAUCCGCUUUGAGAUGGCCUCGCGUCCGAUUAGCUAGUUGGUGAGGUAACGGCCCACCAAGGCGACGAUCGGUAGCCGGGCUGAGAGGUUGAACGGCCACAUUGGGACUGAGACACGGCCCAG
This 311-nucleotide ribosomal RNA is filed under the name uncultured bacterium. RNAcentral describes it as "bacterial SSU rRNA". It matches the Rfam family "Bacterial small subunit ribosomal RNA", at positions 28 to 334 of the family's 1533-position model. The record is from RNAcentral.